CGCGAAUGGCUCAUUAUAACAGCUAUAAUUUACUUGAUCUUGACACAAUCCUACUUGGAUAACUGUGGUAAUUCUAGAGCUAAUACAUGCAUUAAAGCUCUGACCGCAAGGGAAGAGUGCACUUAUUAGAACAAAACCAAGCGGCUUCGGCUGUUUUCGGUUGACUCAUAGUAACUGAGCUGAUCGCACGGUCUUGCACCGGCGACGUGUCUUUCAAGUAUCUGCCGUAUCAACUUUCGAUGGUAGUGUAUCUGACUACCAUGGUGAUCACGCGUAACGGAGAAUAAGGGUUCGGCUCCGGAGAGUUCGCCUGAGAAAUCGCGAACACAUCUAAGGAAGGCAGCAGGCGCGAAAAUUACCCACUCUCAGCACGAGGAGGUAGUGACGAAAAAUAACGAGACCGUUCUCUUAUGAGGCCGGUCAUCGGAAUGGGUACAAUUUAAACCCUUUAACGAGUAUCUAUGAGAGGGCAAGUCUGGUGCCAGCAGCCGCGGUAAUUCCAGCU
This 505-nucleotide ribosomal RNA is filed under the name Acrobeloides cf. buetschlii SLISO20137. Its description in RNAcentral is "SSU rRNA". It matches the Rfam family "Eukaryotic small subunit ribosomal RNA", at positions 88 to 590 of the family's 1831-position model. Lineage: Eukaryota; Metazoa; Nematoda; Chromadorea; Rhabditida; Cephalobidae. The record is from RNAcentral. RNAcentral also lists the same sequence under 1 other name.